GAGCACCAAACGAAAAUCAAGUUCAGCGCCUGCCUUACAAGCAGGGGGUCACAGGUUCAAGUCCUGUAGCGCCCACUA
This 78-nucleotide transfer RNA is filed under the name Planctomycetota bacterium. RNAcentral's name for it is "Planctomycetes bacterium tRNA-Val". It matches the Rfam family "tRNA", at positions 13 to 71 of the family's 71-position model. Rfam says of the family: Transfer RNA (tRNA) molecules are approximately 80 nucleotides in length. The record is from RNAcentral. Lineage: Bacteria; Pseudomonadati; Planctomycetota.